AGGACGAACGCUGGCGGCGUGCUUAACACAUGCAAGUCGAACGGAAAGGCCCUUCGGGGUACGUCGAGUGGCGAACGGGUGAGUAACACGUGGGUGAUCUGCCCUGCACUUUGGGAUAAGCCUGGGAAACUGGGUCUAAUACCGAAUAGGACCACGGGAUGCAUGUCCUGUGGUGGAAAGCUUUUGCGGUGUGGGAUGGGCCCGCGGCCUAUCAGCUUGUUGGUGGGGUGAUGGCCUACCAAGGCGACGACGGGUA
This 256-nucleotide ribosomal RNA is filed under the name uncultured bacterium. RNAcentral describes it as "partial small subunit ribosomal RNA". It matches the Rfam family "Bacterial small subunit ribosomal RNA", at positions 26 to 285 of the family's 1533-position model. The record is from RNAcentral.